Ictidomys tridecemlineatus (thirteen-lined ground squirrel) is the source of this 1353-nucleotide non-coding RNA. The record is from RefSeq and is a predicted model, not a curated record. Lineage: Eukaryota; Metazoa; Chordata; Mammalia; Rodentia; Sciuridae.
AGGGAGCUACUGUGUGGCUGUGUGGCUGAGCCUGGCUGGAGGAGAAUCGGGCUGCUGUGCCACAGGGCAGGAGAGAUCGUCUGCCAUGCCAGAGACCCCAGGCUGGACUCCACUCGGCACCAGCCAGGGUCCAGACCCCUGCAAGCAAACCAGGCUCAGAUUUAGAAGCAGCAACAUGGGCAGCAGGGCCCCUGCUCCUCCUGAGUUCCCUCCCACUCUGCUUCACACCCUGGGUGUUCCUGCACACAGGCCAAGCUGGACCCUUUCCCAGGCCAUCCCUCUGACCCCUGCAGAGCUGACCCUCACACCCAGGCCCUGCUGAGAAACCCCCUUGAUCUUCGGGAGGAAAAGUUCUCAGCGAACAGGAGUGGUCUGUCCAGUGCAAGUGUGUGCCUGGUGUUUUCCACAAAGAAUCCAACCGUAAGAAUUUCUGGAGGUGCUAAUGGUCUGCUGCUGAACCGAGGAGAUGUAAACAACAUUUCUCAGAUGACACAAGCCAGGAGGGCCGUCCUUUCUGGGCCUUCCUUUCCUCCUUGACUUUUGCUGCCAAAUAAUAAUAAUUUCCCCUCCUGAGAUUUUGACGGGAGCGAGAAUUUAGAGUGUACCCACAAGUUCAGUCUCUGUGGGACCAGGCCUGCUUCCCCUCGGCCUGGGUCUGUCUGCUGCUCAGCGGCUGAUCUGCAGGUGUGGCAUGUGCUGUCCCCACCAGGUCCCCACCAGGCUUCUCCACCAAACCUGGCUCUCUUUAGCUGGGUGGUGAUAGCUGGUCAACCUGCUGUCUUAUCAGGUGACCCUGGUCUUUUAGGACACAUUAAUGAUGGGAUUUAUAAGACCCGUGUCAGGAGGUUUUUUAGUGAAGAGCCUCGAUUGUUAAAAUGAACUUCAGAAACUUCCAUAUGGAAAGAGAACAGCAGCUCUAUGCGUGUGCAUUUCUUUCUGUACACAUCAGGCUAGCCUCCUGUGGCUGGGGCACUUCCUCCUGGGUCACAUUCCUGAGAGCACAUGAUGAUGUCCCUGCCAGGGAUCUUAAUCCCUUUGAGGUUGCUUUGCAAACUUCAAAUCUUCAAGAGCUUAGUGUUCAGGUUCAGUGUCAGCCACAAACGGCCCAUGACCAUGACGCACAAGGAACGCCAGGGAGGCCAGGCCCUCUCGGCUGGCGGAUGAGCACAGAAAAGCUGGCUCAGGCAGUCCCAGGGUGGGCCAAGUCCCUGUGGGUGGACCCGAGACUGGUGGAGCGGUGGUGAGAAAGGACUGCUUCCAGAGGCGCCCGCCCCAGUGAGCGAGCAUCUCCUGUUGGGGACAUUAUUGAUGGGUGUGUUAGACAUUUUUAAACAAAAUAAUGUAUUUAGAAGA